AUGAACUUUGGGCUGAGCUUGAUUUUCCUUGUCCUAAUUUUAAAAGGUGUCCAGUGUGAAGUGAUGCUGGUGGAGUCUGGGGGAGGCUUAGUGAAGCCUGGAGGGUCCCUGAAACUCUCCUGUGCAGCCUCUGGAUUCACUUUCAGUAGCUAUACCAUGUCUUGGGUUCGCCAGACUCCGGAGAAGAGGCUGGAGUGGGUCGCAACCAUUAGUGGUGGUGGUGGUAACACCUACUAUCCAGACAGUGUGAAGGGUCGAUUCACCAUCUCCAGAGACAAUGCCAAGAACACCCUGUACCUGCAAAUGAGCAGUCUGAGGUCUGAGGACACGGCCUUGUAUUACUGUGCAAGA
Non-coding RNA from Mus musculus (house mouse), 351 nucleotides. The record is from the annotation of a RefSeq genome assembly. NCBI's taxonomy places the organism in Eukaryota, Metazoa, Chordata, Mammalia, Rodentia, Muridae.